Molecule: long non-coding RNA, 355 nt
Organism: Salvia miltiorrhiza (redroot sage)
Lineage: Eukaryota; Viridiplantae; Streptophyta; Magnoliopsida; Lamiales; Lamiaceae
Exons: 4
Source: RefSeq, a predicted model, not a curated record
UUUCUAAAUUCUGCAGUCUCAAUUUCACACAGCAAGUUAAGAAAUAAAUAUCUUCCACCACACCUAUUCAAGGUCCAGACGGGAAGUGAAAGCUAAAGAAGGAGGUAACUCUACGCCCCUAGUGGGAACGGAAUGAGGUUGAGCGGGUGAUGGAAUGGAGUGGAGUUGAGCGGAUGUACCUUUUGACAUAAAAUAAUAAUGUACCCUUGAGACGUAGAACAGUAAUGUAACCUUGAGUAUACAUCUUCAUAUGUAUAACUCACACGUAUUUCCGCUGCAAGAUACUCUGAUUAUGCUAAUGUUUUAUUUUAAGUAUGAUACUCUUUUGUUGGGUAAUCCACUUCGACGGGCCUUC